Peromyscus maniculatus bairdii (prairie deer mouse) is the source of this 309-nucleotide non-coding RNA. NCBI's taxonomy places the organism in Eukaryota, Metazoa, Chordata, Mammalia, Rodentia, Cricetidae. The record is from RefSeq and is a predicted model, not a curated record.
CCUGGGCCUGGCUGCACAUCCUGCGCUCCGAGCGCUCGGUGGAUGCGAGCUGGGCGGCGUCCCUAGGUAGUUGGGGACCAAAGGGAAAUACUCCCUUUGCCCUUCCAGCUGCGGAGGCCAGAUACCUCUAGACAGUUGUCAGCCAAUCAGGGUCCUGGACCCUGGAAAUCCCCUCACCUCAACCUCUGCUAUGAUAAAAACUCUGCCCCACCUGAGCUCAGGGCUCUCUGCUCUCACCCCUGUGUCGGACAGACAGAAGGACCAAGCUCCGGAGCUUGAAAUAAAGGCUCUUUGCUUUUACCUGCAGGA